GAUGAACGCUGGCGGCGUGCUUAACACAUGCAAGUCGAACGAUGAAGCCCAGCUUGCUGGGUGGAUUAGUGGCGAACGGGUGAGUAACACGUGAGUAACCUGCCCUUAACUCUGGGAUAAGCCUGGGAAACUGGGUCUAAUACCCGAUAGGAGCGUCCACCGCAUGGUGGGUGUUGGAAAGAUUUAUCGGUUUUGGAUGGACUCGCGGCCUAUCAGCUUGUUGGUGAGGUAAUGGCUCACCAAGGCGACGACGGGUAGCCGGCCUGAGAGGGUGACCGGCCACACUGGGACUGAGACACGGCCCAGACUCCUACGGGAGGCAGCAGUGGGGAAGAGUGCACAAUGGGCGCAAGCCUGAUGCAGCGACGCCGCGUGAGGGAUGACGGCCUUCGGGUUGUAAACCUCUUUCAGGAGGGAAGAAGCGAAAGUGACGGUACCUGCAGAAGAAGCACCGGCUAACUACGUG
RNAcentral lists this ribosomal RNA (466 nucleotides) under uncultured bacterium. RNAcentral describes it as "partial 16S ribosomal RNA". It matches the Rfam family "Bacterial small subunit ribosomal RNA", at positions 28 to 507 of the family's 1533-position model. The record is from RNAcentral.